CUCACCUGUGUGCCCUGCAGGGCUUGGCAUGUGAGAAACACCAGCCUUUGGGCCCAGCAGAGGAUCAGCAGCUCUUACACCUCUGCUGACUGUCACAGGUGACCAAAUCGUUCCGUUUCAUUACCUGAAGUGAUUAGAUAUGAGAAUCAAAAAAGGAAAACUGUUAUUCUCUCAAGCUCAUCGUAACCCCACGUGGAAGUUAAGUGUGUGCCAUUAAAUCUCGUUAGAGCUAACAAUCAGCUUUAUUUACUUUUCAGUCACUUGCCCAUUGCCAUGACAGAAGCAUUGAUUUGUAUCUUUUAGAGAUCCAUAAGUGCAGACUGGAGCUCCAGUGGCACGGGUGGAUGGAAGCACUUCUGUAAGAAUGGGUAAAUGCAAUCAAUAAUGCCACCUGACAUCCAGGAGAGAAGAAAUAUCUUUACAACAUCAAGCAAUGCAAUCUGAUCCAUGUUUGGGGUAUUGGGAGACUCAUCAAAUAUCUGUGCAACGAGCAGGAAUUGAUUUUCCAGUCCCUGCCCACCUGAUGUGAAUGUGUGUGUGCAUCACUGAGGAGCAUUCAUGCAAACUUUGUCUGCUGAGCUGGUGGUCUCCUUGGCCCUGCUACUAUGGAGCUUUCAGGCACAAAUAGUCCUGCAGGUGUUCAGCAGGUGGAAUAAAGCUGCCAUAAAAGUGCAGGUGUGCACAGCAGUAGCUCUUUCAAGAGACUCUUCUGAAGCCUGGUUUGAUUUGGAGGGGGAAAAGGGCUCAAGAUAACAGAAAACUUCCGGGUUCAUACUGACACUUCAGAGAACUUCCAGAAUUAACAGCAUCAUUUGUAUAAUCUGACAGGAAAAGAAUUUGUUUAUUGUGUAGAAAAAUUGCAUGCAGAAAAUACAUUUUUUGUGGCCUUGUUUCUUAAUAUACACAUAAAAAAAUUCUAUUUCACUGUUUUGAUUGCUUUGAGCAACAUGAUUAAACUAGAAUUUUGAAUAUCAAAACUGUAACUUUUACGGUGUUUGGAGGGACGAGGUGAAAAAUGUGCAAGUCAAACCUAUCUGCCUUGGACAAUGGGGAACAAAUAGAUAUUGCAGAAGUAAUUGAUAAAUUGGGCUGCUCAUUUGGAUUAGUGACAAAUGACAGUUGAGUGGGAAUCACUGCAAUAAAUCCAGAGGGACACUGUUGAAAACA
This 1167-nucleotide long non-coding RNA is filed under the name Cyanistes caeruleus (blue tit). RNAcentral describes it as "lncRNA (ENSCCEG00000004373.1)". Lineage: Eukaryota; Metazoa; Chordata; Aves; Passeriformes; Paridae. The record is from RNAcentral.